RNAcentral lists this ribosomal RNA (1203 nucleotides) under Clostridioides difficile. RNAcentral describes it as "partial 23S ribosomal RNA". It matches the Rfam family "Bacterial large subunit ribosomal RNA", at positions 1078 to 2297 of the family's 2925-position model. Lineage: Bacteria; Bacillati; Bacillota; Clostridia; Peptostreptococcales; Peptostreptococcaceae. The record is from RNAcentral.
GGAUUGCACAGACAACCAGGAUGUUGGCUUAGAAGCAGCCACUCAUUCAAAGAGUGCGUAAUAGCUCACUGGUCGAGUGAUCCUGCGCCGAAGAUUUCCGGGGCUAAAACUUACUACCGAAGCUACGGCAUCAGUAAUGAUGGGUAGGGGAGCUUCCCAUACGGGUUGAAGCAUGACCGUAAGGACAUGUGGACAGUAUGGGAGUGAGAAUGUUGGCAUGAGUAGCGAGAUGUGGGUGAGAAUCCCACAGGCCGUAAACCCAAGGUUUCCAGGGGAAGGUUCGUCCGCCCUGGGUUAGUCGGGACCUAAGCUGAGGCCGAAAGGCGUAGGUGAUGGACAACAGGUUGAUAUUCCUGUACUACCGAUAACCGUUUGAGAGAAGGGAUGACACAGUAGGAUAAGCUAAGCACACUGUUGGUUAUGUGUGCCCAAGCAUUGAGGCAGUCAAAGUAGGCAAAUCCGCUUUGAUAAUGCUGGGAUGUGAUGGGGAGCGAAAUUUAGUAGCGAAGUAGCUGAUUUCACACUGUCAAGAAAAGUCUCUAUCGAGGUUAAAGGUACCCGUACCGCAAACCGACACAGGUGGGUGAGGAGAGUAUCCUAAGGCCAGCGAGAGAACUGUUGUUAAGGAACUCGGCAAAAUGACCCCGUAACUUAGGGAUAAGGGGUGCCACCAUCAGGUGGCCGCAGAGAAUAGGCCCAAGCGACUGUUUACCAAAAACAUAGGUUUCUGCUAAGUCGCAAGACGAUGUAUAGGAGCUGACGCCUGCCCGGUGCUGGAAGGUUAAGGGGAUCUGUUAGAGCAAUCGAAGCAGUGAACUUAAGCCCCAGUAAACGGCGGCCGUAACUAUAACGGUCCUAAGGUAGCGAAAUUCCUUGUCGGGUAAGUUCCGACCCGCACGAAAGGCGUAACGAUUUGGGCACUGUCUCAACAACAGACUCGGUGAAAUUGUAAUUCCGGUGAAGAUGCCGGAUACCUGCGACAGGACGGAAAGACCCCAUGGAGCUUUACUGUAGCUUGACAUUGGGUCUUGGUACUACAUGUACAGGAUAGGUGGGAGGCUUUGAAACCAGGACGCCAGUUUUGGCGGAGCCAUCCUUGGGAUACCACCCUUGUAGUACUGGGACUCUAACCAUAGGCCAUGAAUCUGGUCUUGGGACACUGUCAGGUGGGCAGUUUGACUGGGGCGGUCGCCUCCCAAAAGG